RNAcentral lists this ribosomal RNA (534 nucleotides) under uncultured Bacillus sp. Its description in RNAcentral is "bacterial SSU rRNA". It matches the Rfam family "Bacterial small subunit ribosomal RNA", at positions 8 to 524 of the family's 1533-position model. Lineage: Bacteria; Bacillati; Bacillota; Bacilli; Caryophanales; Bacillaceae. The record is from RNAcentral.
AGAGUUUGAUCGUGGCUCAGGACGAACGCUGGCGGCGUGCCUAAUACAUGCAAGUCGAGCGGACAGAUGGGGGCUUGCUCCCUGAUGUUAGCGGCGGACGGGUGAGUAACACGUGGGUAACCUGCCUGUAAGACUGGGAUAACUCCGGGAAACCGGGGCUAAUACCGGAUGGUUGUCUGAACCGCAUGGUUCAGACAUAAAAGGUGGCUUCAGCUACCACUUACAGAUGGACCCGCGGCGCAUUAGCUAGUUGGUGAGGUAACGGCUCACCAAGGCGACGAUGCGUAGCCGACCUGAGAGGGUGAUCGGCCACACUGGGACUGAGACACGGCCCAGACUCCUACGGGAGGCAGCAGUAGGGAAUCUUCCGCAAUGGACGAAAGUCUGACGGAGCAACGCCGCGUGAGUGAAGAAGGUUUUCGGAUCGUAAAGCUCUGUUGUUAGGGAAGAACAAGUGCCGUUCAAAUAGGGCGGCACCUUGACGGUACCUAACCAGAAAGCCACGGCUAACUACGUGCCAGCAGCCGCGGUAAU